AGUUGGAGGGUAUAUAUUAAUCAUGCCCAGCUUGUUACAAAUAUAUUUAACCAUGUCCCUACUGAGCCCUUUAGUGAACAAAUCAGCUAGUUGAUUGCCGCUACACACA
Long non-coding RNA from Ipomoea nil (Japanese morning glory), 109 nucleotides. RefSeq lists it as uncharacterized. The record is from RefSeq and is a predicted model, not a curated record. NCBI's taxonomy places the organism in Eukaryota, Viridiplantae, Streptophyta, Magnoliopsida, Solanales, Convolvulaceae. The transcript is spliced from 3 exons.